GACGAACGCUGGCGGCGUGCUUAACACAUGCAAGUCGAACGGAAAGGCCUUUUCGGAGGUACUCGAGUGGCGAACGGGUGAGUAACACGUGGGUGAUCUGCCCUGCACUCUGGGAUAAGCCUGGGAAACUGGGUCUAAUACCGGAUAGGACCGCACUUUAGUGUGUGUGGUGGAAAGUUUUUUCGGUGUAGGAUGAGCCCGCGGCCUAUCAGCUUGUUGGUGGGGUAAUGGCCUACCAAGGCGGCGACGGGUAGCCGGACUGAGAGGUUGGUCGGCCACAGUGGGACUGGGAUACGGCCCAGACUCCUACGGGAGGCAGCAGUGGGGAAUAUUGCACAAUGGGCGCAAGCCUGAUGCAGCGACGCCGCGUGGGGGAUGACGGCCUUGGGGUUGUAAACUCCUUUCGCCAGGGACGAAGCGUUUUGUGACGGUACCUGGAGAAGAAGCACCGGCUAACUACGUG
This 463-nucleotide ribosomal RNA is filed under the name uncultured bacterium. Its description in RNAcentral is "partial 16S ribosomal RNA". It matches the Rfam family "Bacterial small subunit ribosomal RNA", at positions 28 to 507 of the family's 1533-position model. The record is from RNAcentral.